Molecule: ribosomal RNA, 402 nt
Filed under: bacterium
Lineage: Bacteria
Description: partial 16S ribosomal RNA
Rfam family: Bacterial small subunit ribosomal RNA
Source: RNAcentral
UGGGGAAUUUUGCACAAUGGGGGAAACCCUGAUGCAGCGACGCCGCGUGAUUUAGAAGGCCUUCGGGUUGUAAAAAUCUUUUCUAUGGGAAGAAAAUGACAGUACCAUAGGAAUAAGGACCGGCUACUUACGUGCCAGCAGCCGCGGUAAUACGUAAGGUCCGAGCGUUGUCCGGAAUCAUUGGGCGUAAAGGGUACGUAGGCGGGUAAGCAAGUUAGAAGUGAAAUCCUAUAGCUCAACUAUAGUAAGCUUUUAAAACUGCUCAUCUUGAGGUAUGGAAGGGAGAGUGGAAUUCCUAGUGUAGCGGUGAAAUGCGCAGAUAUUAGGAGGAAUACCGGUGGCGAAGGCGACUUUCUGGCCAUAACCUGACGCUGAGGUACGAAAGCGUGGGUAGCAAACAGG